Molecule: transfer RNA, 85 nt
Filed under: Calditrichaceae bacterium
Lineage: Bacteria; Pseudomonadati; Calditrichota; Calditrichia; Calditrichales; Calditrichaceae
Description: tRNA-Leu
Rfam family: tRNA
About the family: Transfer RNA (tRNA) molecules are approximately 80 nucleotides in length.
Source: RNAcentral
GCCGGAGUGGUGGAAUUGGUAGACGCGCUGGACUCAAAAUCCAGUGAGGGUUAACCUCGUGUCGGUUCGAGUCCGACCUCCGGUA